Molecule: non-coding RNA, 45 nt
Filed under: Trichobilharzia regenti
Lineage: Eukaryota; Metazoa; Platyhelminthes; Trematoda; Strigeidida; Schistosomatidae
Source: RNAcentral
AUUGGCUGACGAGUCCCAAAAUAGGACGAAAUGCGCAUCCUAGAU